RNAcentral lists this ribosomal RNA (1360 nucleotides) under uncultured bacterium. RNAcentral's name for it is "bacterial SSU rRNA". It matches the Rfam family "Bacterial small subunit ribosomal RNA", at positions 27 to 1381 of the family's 1533-position model. The record is from RNAcentral.
GGACGAACGCUGGCGGCGUGCCUAACACAUGCAAGUCGAGCGGAGUUUGAUUCUUCGGAAAUAAACUUAGCGGCGGACGGGUGAGUAACACGUGGGUAACCUGCCUUAUAGUGGGGGAUAGCCUUUCGAAAGGAAGAUUAAUACCGCAUAACAUAUGACUAUGGCAUCAUAGACAUAUCAAAGGAGCAAUCCGCUAUAAGAUGGGCCCGCGGCGCAUUAGCUAGUUGGAGGGGUAACGGCCCACCAAGGCGACGAUGCGUAGCCGACCUGAGAGGGUGAUCGGCCACAUUGGAACUGAGACACGGUCCAGACUCCUACGGGAGGCAGCAGCUAAGAAUCUUCCGCAAUGGGCGAAAGCCUGACGGAGCGACGCCGCGUGAACGAAGAAGGCCGUGAGGUUGUAAAGUUCUUUUCGGGAGGGGGAACAACCGUGGCAGGGAAUGGCCGCGGGAUGACGUGAAUCCCGGAAUAAGCCCCGGCUAACUACGUGCCAGCAGCCGCGGUAACACGUAGGGGGCGAGCGUUGUUCGGAAUCAUUGGGCGUAAAGGGCGUGCAGGCGGUCCUGCAAGUCCGGCGUGAAAGACCCCGGCCCAACCGGGGGGGCGCGCUGGAAACUGGAGGGCUUGAGUACAGGAGGGGAUGCCGGAAUUCCAGGUGUAGGGGUGAAAUCUGUAGAUAUCUGGAAGAACACCAAUGGCGAAGGCAGGCAUCUGGCCAUGUACUGACGCUGAGACGCGAAGGUGCGGGGAGCAAACAGGUUUAGAUACCCUGGUAGUCCGCACAGUAAACGAUGUGCACCAGGUGGCGGGGGGUCGACCCCCGGUACCGUAGCUAACGCAUUAAGUGCACCGCCUGGGGAGUAUGCUCGCAAGGGUGAAACUCAAAGGAAUUGACGGGGGCCCGCACAAGCGGUGGAGCAUGUGGUUUAAUUCGAUGGUACGCGAGGAACCUUACCAGGGCUUGACAUACGCCGGAAGCGCAUCGAAAGGUGCGUGCCGCUUGCGGCCGGCGUACAGGUGCUGCAUGGCUGUCGUCAGCUCGUGCUGUGAAGUGUUGGGUUAAGUCCCGCAACGAGCGCAACCCCUGCUGCCUGUUGCCACCACGAGAGGUGGGGACUCAGGCGGAACUGCCGGUGACAAACCGGAGGAAGGUGGGGACGACGUCAAGUCAUCAUGGCCCUUAUGUCCUGGGCUACACACGUGCUACAAUGGCCGGUACAGAGCGCAGCGAGGCCGCGAGGCGGAGCGAAUCGCUUAAAGCCGGUCCCAGUACGGAUUGGAGUCUGCAACCCGACUCCAUGAAGUUGGAAUCGCUAGUAAUCGCGCAUCAGCAUGGCGCGGUGAAUACGUUCCCGGACCU